Molecule: ribosomal RNA, 1443 nt
Filed under: uncultured bacterium
Lineage: Bacteria
Description: 16S ribosomal RNA
Rfam family: Bacterial small subunit ribosomal RNA
Source: RNAcentral
GCUUAACACAUGCAAGUCGAGGGGCAGCAUAGUCUUAGCUUGCUAAGGCCGAUGGCGACCGGCGCACGGGUGAGUAACACGUAUCCAACCUGCCGUCUACUCUUGGACAGCCUUCUGAAAGGAAGAUUAAUACAAGAUGGCAUCAUGAGUCCGCAUGUUCACAUGAUUAAAGGUAUUCCGGUAGACGAUGGGGAUGCGUUCCAUUAGAUAGUAGGCGGGGUAACGGCCCACCUAGUCUUCGAUGGAUAGGGGUUCUGAGAGGAAGGUCCCCCACAUUGGAACUGAGACACGGUCCAAACUCCUACGGGAGGCAGCAGUGAGGAAUAUUGGUCAAUGGGCGAGAGCCUGAACCAGCCAAGUAGCGUGAAGGAUGACUGCCCUAUGGGUUGUAAACUUCUUUUAUAAAGGAAUAAAGUCGGGUAUGGAUACCCGUUUGCAUGUACUUUAUGAAUAAGGAUCGGCUAACUCCGUGCCAGCAGCCGCGGUAAUACGGAGGAUCCGAGCGUUAUCCGGAUUUAUUGGGUUUAAAGGGAGCGUAGAUGGAUGUUUAAGUCAGUUGUGAAAGUUUGCGGCUCAACCGUAAAAUUGCAGUUGAUACUGGAUAUCUUGAGUGCAGUUGAGGCAGGCGGAAUUCGUGGUGUAGCGGUGAAAUGCUUAGAUAUCACGAAGAACUCCGAUUGCGAAGGCAGCCUGCUAAGCUGCAACUGACAUUGAGGCUCGAAAGUGUGGGUAUCAAACAGGAUUAGAUACCCUGGUAGUCCACACGGUAAACGAUGAAUACUCGCUGUUUGCGAUAUACUGCAAGCGGCCAAGCGAAAGCGUUAAGUAUUCCACCUGGGGAGUACGCCGGCAACGGUGAAACUCAAAGGAAUUGACGGGGGCCCGCACAAGCGGAGGAACAUGUGGUUUAAUUCGAUGAUACGCGAGGAACCUUACCCGGGCUUAAAUUGCAGAUGAAUUACGGUGAAAGCCGUAAGCCGCAAGGCAUCUGUGAAGGUGCUGCAUGGUUGUCGUCAGCUCGUGCCGUGAGGUGUCGGCUUAAGUGCCAUAACGAGCGCAACCCUUGUUGUCAGUUACUAACAGGUUCCGCUGAGGACUCUGACAAGACUGCCAUCGUAAGAUGUGAGGAAGGUGGGGAUGACGUCAAAUCAGCACGGCCCUUACGUCCGGGGCUACACACGUGUUACAAUGGGGGGUACAGAGGGCCGCUACCACGCGAGUGGAUGCCAAUCCCCAAAACCUCUCUCAGUUCGGACUGGAGUCUGCAACCCGACUCCACGAAGCUGGAUUCGCUAGUAAUCGCGCAUCAGCCACGGCGCGGUGAAUACGUUCCCGGGCCUUGUACACACCGCCCGUCAAGCCAUGGGAGCCGGGGGUACCUGAAGUGCGUAACCGCGAGGAGCGCCCUAGGGUAAAACUGGUGACUGGGGCUAAGUCAUAACA